Molecule: ribosomal RNA, 599 nt
Filed under: uncultured bacterium
Lineage: Bacteria
Description: bacterial SSU rRNA
Rfam family: Bacterial small subunit ribosomal RNA
Source: RNAcentral
AGAGUUUGAUCAUGGCUCAGAUUGAACGCUGGCGGCAGGCUUAACACAUGCAAGUCGAGCGGAAACGAUGGUAGCUUGCUACCAGGCGUCGAGCGGCGGACGGGUGAGUAAUACUUAGGAAUCUACCUAGUAGUGGGGGAUAGCACGGGGAAACUCGUAUUAAUACCGCAUACGACCUACGGGAGAAAGGGGGCAGUUUACUGCUCUCGCUAUUAGAUGAGCCUAAGUCGGAUUAGCUAGAUGGUGGGGUAAAGGCCUACCAUGGCGACGAUCUGUAGCUGGUCUGAGAGGAUGAUCAGCCACACCGGGACUGAGACACGGCCCGGACUCCUACGGGAGGCAGCAGUGGGGAAUAUUGGACAAUGGGGGAAACCCUGAUCCAGCCAUGCCGCGUGUGUGAAGAAGGCCUUUUGGUUGUAAAGCACUUUAAGCAGUGAAGAAGACUCUUCGGUUAAUACCCGGAGACGAUGACAUUAGCUGCAGAAUAAGCACCGGCUAACUCUGUGCCAGCAGCCGCGGUAAUACAGAGGGUGCAAGCGUUAAUCGGAAUUACCUGGGCGUAAAGCGAGCGUAGGUGGCUUGAUAAGUCAGAUGUGAAA